Molecule: ribosomal RNA, 432 nt
Filed under: uncultured bacterium
Lineage: Bacteria
Description: bacterial SSU rRNA
Rfam family: Bacterial small subunit ribosomal RNA
Source: RNAcentral
CGCGAAGAACCUUACCUAAGCUUGACAUCCUUUUGACCUCUCCCUAAUCGGAGAUUUCCCUUUGGGGACAGAAGUGACAGGUGGUGCAUGGUUGUCGUCAGCUCGUGUCGUGAGAUGUUGGGUUAAGUCCCGCAACAAGCGCAACCCUUGCCUUUAGUUGCCAGCAUUAAGUUGGGCACUCUAGAGGGACUGCCAGGGAUAACCUGGAGGAAGGUGGGGAUGACGUCAAAUCAUCAUGCCCCUUAUGCUUAGGGCUACACACGUGCUACAAUGGGUGGUACAGAGGGCAGCCAAGUCGUGAGGCGGAGCUAAUCCCUUAAAGCCAUUCUCAGUUCGGAUUGUAGGCUGAAACUCGCUUACAUGAAGCUGGAGUUACUAGUAAUCGCAGAUCAGAAUGCUGCGGUGAAUGCGUUCCCGGGUCUUGUACACACC